AUUUACCCUAGAGGUGUUGAAGGUAUGGCUGUUGUGUCACUUGUCAGUAGGUAUCAGAGAGGUGACAGGCUGUGUCUACUCUCAAUGCUUUGACCUGUGAACAUCUGAAUUAUUAGUAGGCUAAUACU
Molecule: small nucleolar RNA, 128 nt
Organism: Acomys russatus (golden spiny mouse)
Lineage: Eukaryota; Metazoa; Chordata; Mammalia; Rodentia; Muridae
Product: small nucleolar RNA SNORA17
Exons: 1
Source: RefSeq, a predicted model, not a curated record